Molecule: ribosomal RNA, 253 nt
Filed under: uncultured bacterium
Lineage: Bacteria
Description: partial 16S ribosomal RNA
Rfam family: Bacterial small subunit ribosomal RNA
Source: RNAcentral
UACGGAGGGUGCAAGCGUUGCUCGGAAUUACUGGGCGUAAAGCGCACGCAGGCGGUUUGAUAAGUCGGGUGUGAAAGCCCUGGGCUCAACCCAGGAACUGCACUCGAAACUGCCAGACUUGAGUUCGGGAGAGGGGGGUGGAAUUCCUGGUGUAGAGGUGAAAUUCGUUGAUAUCAGGAGGAACACCGGCGGCGAAAGCGGCCCCCUGGCCCGAUACUGACGCUCAUGUGCGAAAGCGUGGGGAGCAAACAGG